UAGGGAAUCUUCCGCAAUGGACGAAAGUCUGACGGAGCAACGCCGCGUGAGUGAAGAAGGAUUUCGGUUCGUAAAACUCUGUUGUUAGGGAAGAAAAAAUGUAUAGUAACUAUAUACAAAAGAGACGGUACCUAACCAGAAAGCCACGGCUAACUACGUGCCAGCAGCCGCGGUAAUACGUAGGUGGCAAGCGUUGUCCGGAAUUAUUGGGCGUAAAGCGCGCGCAGGUGGUUUAGAAAGUCGGAUGUGAAAGCCCACGGCUCAACCGUUGAGGGUCAUUGGAAACUAAUAAACUUGAGUGCAGGAGAGAAAAGAGGAAUUCCUAGUGUAGCGGUGAAAUGCGUAGAUAUUAGGAGGAAUACCGGUGGCGAAGGCGACUUUCUGGACUUGAACUGACGCUGAGGCACGAAAGCGUGGGGAGCAAACAGG
Molecule: ribosomal RNA, 429 nt
Filed under: Verrucomicrobiota bacterium
Lineage: Bacteria; Pseudomonadati; Verrucomicrobiota
Description: Verrucomicrobia bacterium partial 16S ribosomal RNA
Rfam family: Bacterial small subunit ribosomal RNA
Source: RNAcentral